ACAGCAGUCUUAAGCGUCAGAUAGGGGACACAGGAAGUCACAUGAUAUACACACGUGACUGUGCACUGUCUGACUCUGGACUCUGGAGGAGCAAGCUGUCGUGUGAAGACGAACAGCCAGCCAGUGUAGCAGCCUGCAGCCCUAGUAGCCAGCCACAGAGGAGCUGACUGAGCAUUCCUAAUUUUUAGGAGUCUAGGAAUCCCGGGAGUGUUAGCCAUCCUAGAGCCUGGCUUCUUUCUUCUGAAGUGGGAGGGCUUUGAUGGAGCACAAUCAAAUGGCAUCAAUGUGCAGCAGGGGACAAACUGUAACUGGAUUCAUGUGAAUGGUAUUACCACGCCCACUAUCCCAUUAUCUGUGCCCAUGGAUCGGGGAAGAGAUCCAAAAAGCAGGUUUUCGUCUUAUUGGGCUGCUGGACGCAAUUUCUUUUCUGCUCUGACCACAAGAGAUUGCCUGUGACUCUAACCCCAUAAUGACAUCGAUCUGUAACUGAAAUAUGUUUAGUUCUGAUGAGGUCAGAAAACGUUUACAUCUAUAUCUGUGAAUGUCUAUCUCUUAUUUUGUUUUUGUCACUACAAUAA
Pseudophryne corroboree (corroboree frog) is the source of this 578-nucleotide long non-coding RNA. RefSeq lists it as uncharacterized. Lineage: Eukaryota; Metazoa; Chordata; Amphibia; Anura; Myobatrachidae. The record is from RefSeq and is a predicted model, not a curated record. The transcript is spliced from 3 exons.